This 7319-nucleotide long non-coding RNA is filed under the name Homo sapiens (human). RNAcentral describes it as "non-protein coding FUT8-AS1:1". The record is from RNAcentral. Lineage: Eukaryota; Metazoa; Chordata; Mammalia; Primates; Hominidae.
CAUGACACUGCCACUUAAGAAAUACACUGCGUCUCUGAAGAUUGCAAUCCCCACUGUGAAGAAAGAACAGGUGCUGCACCCGACAACCCACUCAAUCCUGCAGGACAAACCUCCUAGAACUGAUAAAUAUGGACUCAUUUAACCUUCCCAAAUAAGUUGAUACUCAAAAGCCGCCAGCUCGUCAUUUGCACAUCAAAAGGGAGUACAGCUGCACUCAAGCCUUUAACUGCCCUGCAUCAGUCCCUCGCGGAUCUUUGUGAGGGUCCACUCCCUGCUUUCUAGCCCGAGCAGCACUCAGAAAGAGCCCAUAACGCACGGGCAUCUUCCUCCCCACAAACCGCGACUCCAGGGACCGAGCUGCUGACGAAGGGAAGGUAGGUGUGGAGGGGAAACGACGGACACCUCCCACCCCCGCCCCCAACCCUUCUCCUUCCCUAGGCUUUGGCCCCUGCCCUAGGCAAGGAUGCGCGACGCCGAGGGCAGCAGCGGCGCAGCUCCGCGUCCCGGCUGGAGAGGCGGGCGCCCCUCACCCUCUGCCCGCGCCCCCGGGGCUGCGCCAAGGCAUCCGCCAGAGCGUCCCGGGGGCUCCCUCCCCACUUUUCCGAGAGCCGCUGGUUAACCGGCAGCAGUUGCAGCAACAGGCCCGGGUGAACGAGCAGGGACAGCCGCGGAGCCUCCUCAGAUCCCGCGCGCAGCCCAGCCCAAGACCCCGAGGCGCGCGGGGCCCGGCUCCCAAAACGCCCCCUUACCCCAGGCGGGAGCAGAGGCGGUCUCCGCCGCUCCCCGUCGCAGCUGCCAAAGCCACAGCCCUCAGCCGCAGCUGCCCCACGAUGGGGGAGUGGGAAGGGUGGCUGAGUGGAGGAUGCUACUCCCGACCGAACGGAGAGGAAGAAACGGAAACAGGAACCGCCGCCGCCGCUUAACGGAGCCUUCGGCGCCACUGACUGAGGCAGAGCGCGAGGCGGCGCGAGCCGGGCAGUCGCUGACAGCGCGAGACCGAGAGCGAGCUGGGUCCAGGGCGCGCGACCCUGAGCAGUGCCGGCCCCAUUCCGCGGGGAGACGAAGGGACGGGUCGGCUGGGGCCAGGCGGCGGGGGUGGGAUGGGGAGGGGGCCUGGAGAGGAGGGAACCGGCUGCUCGGGUCGGCCGGAGAUAACGCGCGCACGCGCCGGAGCGGCUCUGACAACGAGCGCAGGCGGGGAAGCCUCGGCCAGCGCCGGCGUGCGCGCGCGAAUGGGGGAGCGCGCCCCUCGGCGUUCCUGGCUUCUGGGAGAGGGCGCGCAUGCGCCGGCCGCUGCCACCUACGGCGACCCUGGCAUGUGCCAGGGAUUCUCCCCGCCCCCUUCCUCGCUGCGCCGGUGGAGAGCGUAGCAGCAGCAUCCACCGCCUAGCAGAGCCGCGGGCCACAGCGGGACGGCACAGUUCCAGCAGGGCAGCGGCUGCGCACGCCGGCUCCGGCUCGCACACAGGCGUAGGCCGCCCUCUACCGCCUGAAGGCCGGAGGCUGAGCGGGGCGCGAGCGGAUCCUGGAUCCCGGGAGGAGACUCGCCUCCAGAGAAUGCUGUGCUCCCUACAGCGCCGGGAAUGGACCGGCCCGUGCCAGCUCAGUCGGCGGCCCUAGGGGGCACCCGCACUAGAGGUUUUGAAGCUGGCUCCUUGCUACUUUUAGGGGUGCGCGCUGCUGCUGCUCAGCCCCUGCAGCCCGCAUUUGGCCGCUUGACUGCUGCUUCCAGCGCGAUCCUACAAUGGCAUCGCUCCCCCAGGAGACUCAGCGAAGCCCUACUUUAUCUUGUAAGAGCUGUUUCCACAUUCACUCGAAGAGAAAGACCCCCCCCACGAGGGCCUGAGUUCGAUGCCCGGCCUCUCCCGACCCGCGGCUGCGACAGCCCCUCUGAGGCGGAAGUUUAUUUAGUACGGGAAAGAGAACAGCACGGGGAGAGGGGAGAGGCUUUGCCCUAGGAUGCGUCCUACCCGCUCGGACUCGGAAAAUUCCCGGCGCCCGCGAUGCAGAGCAGUGGACCGAAGGGCUGCCCCAGAGCAGCCCAGACCGCCAGCUGAGCGGGAGGACCGGAGCGCGCCGCCCCAGCACACAAAGUAGUCGCGGGACGAGGGGUGCCGCCGAGGCCAAUCAGAGCUGCGCGCCGCGUGAGUGGAGUGCGAGCCGGCCAAUCAGAGGGCCGGAAGAUGAGCUUCCCGUUCCAAACUCUUCCCUGUAGCCUUGGGACCCAGAUCCCAAGCCUGGGGCGCUUUACGGUGGGAGAGCGAAAUGGUGCCCUUAAGACAAGAAUCAUUUCUCUAGGCUUGGGCAUUUUAAAGUACAUACCGGGGAUACUUAUCCCAAAGCAAGUAGCGGCGGCCUUUUAGAUGUUAAAUAUUAAAAGAUCACAGAAAGGAGAUUUAAGAGGCAGUGGCCUGUCAAGGUUGCAAUCUGCCUAAUAUUCAUAAAUUCACAUAUUUAUUGAGACCUUCUUAUGUACCAGGAACUCUAUCACAGAUACACAAAUAAGGUACUGCUGAUUCAAAAGAAAAUCCCUUGUCCUCAAGCAGCUCAGGUUGUGAGGGAGGCUUUCCUAGACCUUGAGACUCGUAUUUAUUGUCAGCUCUUUAAACAAAAAGCACUCUAUGAAGUGCUGUACUUUACAGUCGUUUUUAUGAUUAUCUCCCUGUGAGAAAAGAAAAUUGAAAGGAAAGUAGAGUGACUUGUCCAAGAUCACACAGAAGAUGUACUAGCAGAGCCAGAAUUAUGUUCUAGCUCAGUUUGGGUGUCAUCAUUCAAUAAAAUAAUUCAAUAACAAUUUGUAAAUGCAUGGAUGCUCUCUCCCAUGAGAUUUCUGUACUAAACGUAUAAGCAGGACAAAAUUCUGGUAUAAAAGUGACACACUUUGGUUGUUGGAAAUGAACACAAAUUUUAGACUUAUGUGGGAUUAAAGGUAAAAAUCUUACCAGUCAUACUUUAGAUAAUUUUUAGAAGUCAGAGGUGGGGUGGAUAUUUACUUCUUAGUUUAAACACAGCAUUUUAAAAAUAUUUUAACAAGCAAGCGUAACUUUUUUUUUUUAAGAUAGAAGAAGCAGGAAGGAUCACUUAAGCCCAAGAGUUCCAGGCUGCAGUGCCACAUCGUGCCUGUCAGUAGCCACUUCAGCCUGGGCAACAUAGCAAGACCCUCAUGUCUAAAAUUAAAAAUAAAAUUUAAAAAAAAGAACUACUUCUAGUUGGUUAAUAAUCAUGAUAGUUUACACUGUAUAAUACUUUGAGAUACCCAAGUACAAAGCUUUACAUUUGCCUAAAAAUUCCAUUUUUGUCUGGUGUUCCAUUUUUACUUCCAAAAUCCUAGGAAUUAAAGCACUUAUUUUCCCUACCUCCUUCCAACUGAAAAAAAAAAAAAAAAAAACCUGUCCUAGGAAUGUUUUGCCCAGGAUUUGGUGCAUUUGUAUAGAACAGUAUAAUAUACGUUAAAAUAACAAAUAACUUUGGUAUCUCUUGAAUACACUCAGAAACUAAUUCUUCAGUGGUUUUGAAGUCUGCUUUGUUGAAUCAAUGUGCUUCUCCACCUGUGAUGGAACAUUAUUAUCAAAACCCUUUCCAAGGCAGGCUCAGGAUUUAGCUGCCAUCCCAAAACUGGAGGUCUCUGUCAAACAACUGAUAUUUGAGAACAAGUCUUUACACAUUAAGUUCCAAGCCAAUCAUGAAUUUCCAGGAAAUUCACUUAUGAAAGGGAAUUUUAUACCCUGCCUCUUCUCAGUGUGGAUAACAGUCCCAGCUUUUAAAAAAUACAUUUAUUUUACUCUCUCCAGACAAGAAAAUUCCUAGAACUCAGUCGUUCUCUUGCCAGGUUAAAUUCUGAGAGAGAAGGAAUCCCCCAAAAGGUUCUAAACAUCACUGGCCAUCAGAAAGUAUCUGUGUCAAAAGCAUUUUUCCACAAGCUGCAGGUCCCACCCUGUUGCUGCGCUCUCUCAUUCUCUUCUCCCAACUGCUUGCCUCUGCUGCUCAUCACUGCCAGUUUGUAAUAGUUGCUUAAGUAAGUACAGGUACUCCACCUCUUACUCCACCCCUCCCUCACCAAACUAGGUUUUGGACCCAUCUUUGCUUAUCCCAAAAGUUAAAGACAAGUUCUGUUCAACAAAAGAUUAGACAGAACAAUCGUUAUGAUCUGUUAUACAACAAGUAACAGGGCCUUGUCAGUGCAUUGUUUUCUUGUAUAUAGCCUCGGUCAAAUUCUUAACCAUCAGCUAGAGCUAUGGGGACUCGGGUGUCCCGGGGCAAGAAGGAGUCAACCCUUAGACUAUGGAAAAGAUCAAAAUGAAAGUUAAAGUGAGUACAUGAGUGGCCAUUUUAUUGAGAGAUUAGCUAGAUCAAAGUUAAUGAACGUGAAUGCUAUCACAUUUCCUAAGUUGUGAACAUUCAUGUAGAAACUGGUUUGAAAUUUACUACCAUUUUAUUAUGACUGUAAUAAAAAUAAUAGCCAAAGUGUAAUAGUGCUGAGCACCAGGCCUCAUGCAAAACUCUUUACCUCCACCAUUUAAUUCUCAAAUCAAACCUUUGAGGUGGAUCCUGUUAUUACGGUGGGGAGAUCUGUGGAGUUCCAGCAAGGGGUUGAGGCACUCAGAAGGCUUAGCAUAAGCUACUUACCAAAUAGUUUAGAAAUUUUUCUAUCUCUACCAACGUGUACCAACUGACUGUCAGCCAUGGAAGCAUUCUGAAUAAUUGUUAAUUGUUCUCGUUGUUUUAUAAUUGUUGCUCUAGCUACAUUUCACUUACAGGAUCCGAUUUUCCAGGAAGUCAUCCAAAGGGCAGCAUUGUUAUUGCCAAGAGCAAGAAGGGGUGACCUUGAGAUAAUCAUUUUACCCAUCUGGGCCUCAGUUUUCUCAUUUGUAAAAUAAAAGGGUUGGACUAGGUAAGUUUUAGUUGUUCGUCAGUUCUAAAACUAUAAAUCUAGCCAACUUGACACACCAUUGACAAUAACUACAAAAAUGAAAUAUAGGGAAAAAAAGUCUAUAUUUUCAUUUUUAUUUUUUAGAGACAAGGUCGCAGAAUGUUGCCAAGGCUCGUCUUGAACUCCUGGCCUCAAGCUGUACUCUUGCCUCAGCCUCCUGAGUAGCUAAGAAUCUAUAUUUUCAAAUUCAAUGUGUUUUAAGUCACUUUUGAGCCAGCUCCUUAAACAAACUCUAUACCUACUCAUUAAAAAGCCAGAGCAAAUCUUUCCCAUUACAAGAGUAAAUGAAGUGAUUGAUUUAAAGACUGAUGAAACUAGCCAGACUAUCCCUCCCUAUGACUUGCCUCCAUGGCUGAAAUUUCUGUCUUCUCCACUGGGAUAAAGCAGCAUAUAGUUCACACUAUUGAUUUCUAAUUGAACAUUCACUCCCGUCCUUCCUUAUUAAUAGGGCUGUUUAUUUUUGUUUUCAUCUGCCAAUUCUUUAGGUAACCACCCAAAACUCCAACUACAGAAAGGCAACUCAAUUAGCCAAUAAAUGGGUUCCCUAAUAUGGUAGGAGAUUUAUCAUGCUUACUCUCUCUUUCCAGACAUACAAAAAGAUUAUAUUUUUCCACACCCACCCCCAGAUACCCUCCUCCCCUUGCAGUUGGGCUGGACCAUGUGACUGACUAGCUAUAGCCACCAGUCUGUAGUGGGUUGUGGGCAGAAGUGGUAUGUGUCAAUUCCAGGUAGAACAGUUCAUGGCCAGCGUAAGUCCUUACAGUGUUUACUCUUCUCCAGACUCAAGACCAGUAUUAUCUUGAAAGUAUCGGUAAAGCCUCUCUCGGCUUAACUUCCAAAAAAAAGGACAAGGUAGAGCAGCCUGCCUCCCAUUUUCAUCUGGUUUUAAUAAGAAAUACACCUUUGUAGUUUAAGCCACUGAGAUUUGGGGGCAUUUUUCAAUGCAGUAUGACCUAGCAUCUAGGUUAUGCUAGACUAGAAUAUGCUAGAAUUAGAAUAGUCCUAGACUAUUCUAAUUGAUACACUUGAAAACCAUUAGGACCAGGAUAAACUGGCCCAAUCAGACUGAAGGAAAGGAUUUUCAGUCCAUAUCUGGGGGAAGGAGUUCUCUCUUUCCUGCCAGAUAUGAGCAAGUCAACCUGUAACCCAGAUUGCCAUUGGCAGCAAUCUUGCAAGAGGAACUAACCUGAAAAUGAAGUCAACCUACUGGCGAUGGCAGACAGAUAGAAAACCCUUGCAGAUUUGAUUGAGCUGUGGUCAUACCACUCCUGAAAACUAUUCUUUCCUGGACUAUUAAUUCUACAAAAUAAUAAUUAUGUUUGUUUGUUCCCACCAUAACACUGUAAGCAAAAACUCUAUCUUGUAUAUCUUUAAUUUCAUCUCAGUUCCUAACACAGAUAUGUCUCAAGAAGCACUAAAACGUAUUGGAUAUAGCCAGCAAUUAUGGCUCAUACCUUCACCUCAACAUUUUGGGAAGCCAAGGUGGGAGGAUCACUUGAGGCCAGGAGUUCAAGACCAGGCUGGGCAACCAUAGCAAGACCCCUGUCUCUAUUUUUUUAAAUAUAUUGGAUACAUUAAAAACAUUUUAAUGUAAUAGAUCAUACUCUUGCCUUCAGAAAAAAAAGUAUUAUCUGUAUUAACAAGGAGAGAGAGUAAUUUGAUUCAAUCCAAUCUUCUUACAGAUGAAGAGAUUAAAACCUUGUAAGACAUUACAAGGUUUAUCAAGCUCAUAUAGCUUUGGUAUGGCAAAAUUGAAGUAGGGAAAUAGCUAAUAAUUUCUUCAUCAAAAUUGACCAUAGUUUCCAACUUAGGAUAGAGAAGUAUUGAGCCAGUAUAUUACUCUCAGACUUACUAGCUUUUUUGUAACCACAUCACACCAAUCUGGUUCAACUUUUAUGUAACAAAGUUGUGAGUUGUUUUUCAGUUACCAAUGGCCCCCCAGUUUGAAGGUCACCUAACCUGAACAUGCCCAGAUGAACCGAGUCUGCAACUACAGCGGGAACCUAAGUGCUCUGACUGAGGAGUGAGGACUGAAUUAAGAAGGGGACACCACAUUGUAGGAUCCAGGAUCUAAUCGUAUCAAGCUUGGCAUCACCCCAUGGCAGGAUCCAAUCAAAUCAUACCUCCCAGCAUCACCUCAUUGCAAGAUCCAAUCAGAUCACAUCUCAUGACUUUAUGCUUAUAAAACCUGGCCCAGGCCAGGCGCUGUGGCUCACACCUAUAAUCCCAGCACUUUGGGAGGCCGAUGUGGGCAGAUUACUUGAGGACAGGAGUUCAAGACCAGCCUGGCCAACAUGGUGAAACUCUGUCUCUACUAAAAAAAUACAAAAAUUAGCUGGGCGUGGUAGUGGGCACCUUUAAUCUCAGCUACUUGGAAGGCUCAGGCAGG